GGGGUUGUAGUAUAAUGGGAUUACCCCGCACUUGCAAUGCGGUGAUGAGAGUUCGAUUCUCUCCUUCUCCACCA
Molecule: transfer RNA, 74 nt
Filed under: Thermoproteota archaeon
Lineage: Archaea; Thermoproteati; Thermoproteota
Description: tRNA-Ala
Rfam family: tRNA
About the family: Transfer RNA (tRNA) molecules are approximately 80 nucleotides in length. Their secondary structure includes four short double-helical elements and three loops (D, anti-codon, and T loops).
Source: RNAcentral